CCGCACGCGCGCUACACUGACUGAGCCAGCGAGUUCUUCCUUGACCGAAAGGUCCGGGUAAUCUUGUUAAACUCAGUCGUGCUGGGGAUAGAGCAUUGCAAUUAUUGCUCUUCAACGAGGAAUCCCUAGUAAGCGCAAGUCAUCAGCUUGCGUUGAUUACGUCCCUGCCCUUUGUACACACCGCCCGUCGCUACUACCGAUUGAAUGGCUCAGUGAGGCGUCCGGACUGGCCCAGAGAGGUGGGCAACUACCACUCAGGGCCGGAAAGCUCUCCAAACUCGGUCAUUUAGAGGAAGUAAAAGUCGUAACAAGGUCUCCGUUGGUGAACCAGCGGAGGGAUCAUUACCGAGUUUACAACUCCCAAACCCCUGUGAACAUACCUAUCGUUGCUUCGGCGGAUCCGCCCCGGCGCCCUCGGGCCCGGAUCAGGCGCCCGCCGGAGACCCAAAACUCUUGUAUUUCUUUAGUAUCUUCUGAGUAAACAAGCAAAUAAAUUAAAACUUUCAACAACGGAUCUCUUGGUUCUGGCAUCGAUGAAGAACGCAGCGAAAUGCGAUAAGUAAUGUGAAUUGCAGAAUUCCGUGAAUCAUCGAAUCUUUGAACGCACAUUGCGCCCGCCAGUAUUCUGGCGGGCAUGCCUGUUCGAGCGUCAUUUCAACCCUCAAGCCCCCGGGCUUGGUGUUGGGGCUCGGCCCGUCCCUCGCGGCGCGCCGUCCCCGAAAUCA
This 725-nucleotide ribosomal RNA is filed under the name Hypocreales sp. LM481. Its description in RNAcentral is "bacterial SSU rRNA". The stretch from base 1 to 345 matches the Rfam family "Eukaryotic small subunit ribosomal RNA", at positions 1487 to 1831 of the family's 1831-position model. Lineage: Eukaryota; Fungi; Ascomycota; Sordariomycetes; Hypocreales. The record is from RNAcentral.